Molecule: long non-coding RNA, 779 nt
Filed under: Callithrix jacchus (white-tufted-ear marmoset)
Lineage: Eukaryota; Metazoa; Chordata; Mammalia; Primates; Cebidae
Description: lncRNA (ENSCJAG00000060462.2)
Source: RNAcentral
GUGCUGUGUGUGGUAGCUCCCACCUGUAAUCUCAACACUUUGGGAACCUGAGGCAGGAAGACUGCUUAAGCCCAGGAGUUUGAGACCAGCCUGUGCAAUGUGGCAAGAUCCCAUCUCUAAAAGAAAUUUUUUUUUUUUUUUAAUUAGCUGGAUACGUGUCCCCUUCCUGUAGUCCCGGAUACUCAAGAGGCUGAGGUAAGAAGAUGGCUUGAGCCCGGAAGGUCAAGGGUGUACUCGUGAGCCAUGAUUGUGCCAUUGCACUCCUGCCUGGGAAAAAGAGGUCUCACUCUGUCACCCAGGCUGCAGUGCAAUGGCAUGAUCUCAGCUCAGUGCAACCUCUUCCUUCCAGGCUCAAGUGAUCCUCCCACCUCAGCCUUCCUAGCAGCUGAGACUAGGUACACGCCACCAUACCCAGCUAAUUUCUAUAUAUUUUGUAGAAAUGGGAUUUCACCAUGUUUUCCAGGCUGGUCUUCUUCAACUCCUGGACUGAAGCAAUCUGCCCACCUUAGCUUCCCAAAGUGCUAGGAUUACAGGCGUGAGACUCCAUGCCUGGCUGGUAAUAAACUUUUUCAUUAUGUGAUACUUUAUGGUCCUCUAGGAACCAAAUUUCUUUUAGGAUUUGUAAAAAAGUAGGAUUAGAUUGGCUCUUCUGUGUUUUAAACAAGAUCUAUUGAAUCCAAGAGAAAAUUCUUACUAACCAACAUAAAUUAAACAACUAUAAAACAGACAAGCCACAUUGGUUACUCUCAUAGUUUACUUGAUAAAAUCAAAUAGGCAAG